CCUACGGGGGACAGCAGUGAGGAAUAUUGGUCAAUGGACGAGAGUCUGAACCAGCCAAGUAGCGUGAAGGAUGACGGUCCUCUGGGUUGUAAACUUCUUUUAUAAAGGAAUAAAACGAGGCACGUGUGGCAUUAUGCAUGUACUUCAUGAAUAAGAACUGCCUAACUCCGUGACAGGAGCCGCGGUAAUACGGAGGAUCCGAGCGUUAACCGGAAUUAUUGGGUUUAAAGGGAGCGUAGGUGGGGUGUAAAGUCAGUCGUGAAAGUUUUCGGCUCAAACGGAAAAUUGCAAUUGAUACUGGCAGUCUUGAGUACAGGAGAGGUAGGCGGAAUUCGUGGUGUAGCGGUGAAAUGCUUAGAUAUCACGAGGAACACCGAUGGCGAAGGCAGCUUACUAAACUUUGACUGACAUUGAUGCUCGAAAGUGUGGGGAGCAAACAGGAUUAGAUACCCGGGUAGUC
Molecule: ribosomal RNA, 460 nt
Filed under: uncultured bacterium
Lineage: Bacteria
Description: partial 16S ribosomal RNA
Rfam family: Bacterial small subunit ribosomal RNA
Source: RNAcentral